GAUGCAGCUCGGAUCCGGCGACCCCUAGCCUGAGAACCUCCAUAUGCCGCACCUCCUAAAAGGACAAAAGACAAAAAAUAAAAAUAAAAGUGGGAACACGGGAAGCCCAGCAUGCUGGUAGCACGUGCUCAUGGCCGGGCACACACCUGCCCCAGCCCCUGGCAGGGCCGCUCCCGGCUUCCAUAACUUAGGAACAAGCCACACCCCUGCCACGUGGAACAAGAGCAAUUCAGAGCGACCAGGUGGCAGGACUUAGAGCCUAAACCCACGUGAAGCACCUGCUCGCCACGCCCACGAACGGACCUGCACACACUUCCUUCCAACCCUCCGGGGCAAAGAGGACAUCAAACGCUUACGCAGAGGACUUAGUGCACAGUCUUGCAAAUAUAUUUUUUUUUAAAUGUGGUUCUAGAAAGAUUUGAAAAAAACAGUAUGAUCCAGAGAACAUCCGGAUUCUCCCAUUUCCCCCGUGAGACGGAGCUCCCUCUAGCGGGAGGAAGAGGAAACGUCCAGGGAGAGCAAGCGGGUUGGAUGCACCCCGGCCCAGGGGCUCUGAGAAGGGGUCCUGCAGCCUGACCCUCUCAGGCGGUCAUGGGGCAUAAGAAGCCCCCAGAGACUGGACACCUGGGGACAGACGGAGCCCAGGGAAAUGCUAACCUCAAGGGCCACCUCUUCCAUGAAGCCUACCCUGAUGCUCCAUGGGGAGAAUCAGCCCUCUUGCCUCCUAGCCUAUUCGUCAUUCACCUUGUAUGGAAUCUUCUAGAAGAUGACACGAGUCGGGACAUGCUUAGCCCAGCGCCCGGCACCAGGUAACUAUCAUGGACAUAGGAGGUAUUCUCCUUUUCUCUCUGGCUGCCUUUAAGAUCUUCUCUUUGUGUUUGAUGUCUUUGAAUUUCAUGCUGCUGUGUCUUGGCUGGAUGGCCU
RNAcentral lists this long non-coding RNA (924 nucleotides) under Sus scrofa (pig). RNAcentral's name for it is "lncRNA (ENSSSCG00030010317.1)". The record is from RNAcentral. Lineage: Eukaryota; Metazoa; Chordata; Mammalia; Artiodactyla; Suidae.